Molecule: ribosomal RNA, 2903 nt
Filed under: Escherichia coli
Lineage: Bacteria; Pseudomonadati; Pseudomonadota; Gammaproteobacteria; Enterobacterales; Enterobacteriaceae
Description: 23S ribosomal RNA
Rfam family: Bacterial large subunit ribosomal RNA
Source: RNAcentral
UUAAGCGACUAAGCGUACACGGUGGAUGCCCUGGCAGUCAGAGGCGAUGAAGGACGUGCUAAUCUGCGAUAAGCGUCGGUAAGGUGAUAUGAACCGUUAUAACCGGCGAUUUCCGAAUGGGGAAACCCAGUGUGAUUCGUCACACUAUCAUUAACUGAAUCCAUAGGUUAAUGAGGCGAACCGGGGGAACUGAAACAUCUAAGUACCCCGAGGAAAAGAAAUCAACCGAGAUUCCCCCAGUAGCGGCGAGCGAACGGGGAGCAGCCCAGAGCCUGAAUCAGUGUGUGUGUUAGUGGAAGCGUCUGGAAAGGCGCGCGAUACAGGGUGACAGCCCCGUACACAAAAAUGCACAUGCUGUGAGCUCGAUGAGUAGGGCGGGACACGUGGUAUCCUGUCUGAAUAUGGGGGGACCAUCCUCCAAGGCUAAAUACUCCUGACUGACCGAUAGUGAACCAGUACCGUGAGGGAAAGGCGAAAAGAACCCCGGCGAGGGGAGUGAAAAAGAACCUGAAACCGUGUACGUACAAGCAGUGGGAGCACAGAGCAAUCUGUGUGACUGCGUACCUUUUGUAUAAUGGGUCAGCGACUUAUAUUCUGUAGCAAGGUUAACCGAAUAGGGGAGCCGAAGGGAAACCGAGUCUUAACUGGGCGUUAAGUUGCAGGGUAUAGACCCGAAACCCGGUGAUCUAGCCAUGGGCAGGUUGAAGGUUGGGUAACACUAACUGGAGGACCGAACCGACUAAUGUUGAAAAAUUAGCGGAUGACUUGUGGCUGGGGGUGAAAGGCCAAUCAAACCGGGAGAUAGCUGGUUCUCCCCGAAAGCUAUUUAGGUAGCGCCUCGUGAAUUCAUCUCCGGGGGUAGAGCACUGUUUCGGCAAGGGGGUCAUCCCGACUUACCAACCCGAUGCAAACUGCGAAUACCGGAGAAUGUUAUCACGGGAGACACACGGCGGGUGCUAACGUCCGUCGUGAAGAGGGAAACAACCCAGACCGCCAGCUAAGGUCCCAAAGUCAUGGUUAAGUGGGAAACGAUGUGGGAAGGCCCAGACAGCCAGGAUGUUGGCUUAGAAGCAGCCAUCAUUUAAAGAAAGCGUAAUAGCUCACUGGUCGAGUCGGCCUGCGCGGAAGAUGUAACGGGGCUAAACCAUGCACCGAAGCUGCGGCAGCGACGCUUAUGCGUUGUUGGGUAGGGGAGCGUUCUGUAAGCCUGUGAAGGUGUGCUGUGAGGCAUGCUGGAGGUAUCAGAAGUGCGAAUGCUGACAUAAGUAACGAUAAAGCGGGUGAAAAGCCCGCUCGCCGGAAGACCAAGGGUUCCUGUCCAACGUUAAUCGGGGCAGGGUGAGUCGACCCCUAAGGCGAGGCCGAAAGGCGUAGUCGAUGGGAAACAGGUUAAUAUUCCUGUACUUGGUGUUACUGCGAAGGGGGGACGGAGAAGGCUAUGUUGGCCGGGCGACGGUUGUCCCGGUUUAAGCGUGUAGGCUGGUUUUCCAGGCAAAUCCGGAAAAUCAAGGCUGAGGCGUGAUGACGAGGCACUACGGUGCUGAAGCAACAAAUGCCCUGCUUCCAGGAAAAGCCUCUAAGCAUCAGGUAACAUCAAAUCGUACCCCAAACCGACACAGGUGGUCAGGUAGAGAAUACCAAGGCGCUUGAGAGAACUCGGGUGAAGGAACUAGGCAAAAUGGUGCCGUAACUUCGGGAGAAGGCACGCUGAUAUGUAGGUGAAGUCCCUCGCGGAUGGAGCUGAAAUCAGUCGAAGAUACCAGCUGGCUGCAACUGUUUAUUAAAAACACAGCACUGUGCAAACACGAAAGUGGACGUAUACGGUGUGACGCCUGCCCGGUGCCGGAAGGUUAAUUGAUGGGGUCAGCGCAAGCGAAGCUCUUGAUCGAAGCCCCGGUAAACGGCGGCCGUAACUAUAACGGUCCUAAGGUAGCGAAAUUCCUUGUCGGGUAAGUUCCGACCUGCACGAAUGGCGUAAUGAUGGCCAGGCUGUCUCCACCCGAGACUCAGUGAAAUUGAACUCGCUGUGAAGAUGCAGUGUACCCGCGGCAAGACGGAAAGACCCCGUGAACCUUUACUAUAGCUUGACACUGAACAUUGAGCCUUGAUGUGUAGGAUAGGUGGGAGGCUUUGAAGUGUGGACGCCAGUCUGCAUGGAGCCGACCUUGAAAUACCACCCUUUAAUGUUUGAUGUUCUAACGUUGACCCGUAAUCCGGGUUGCGGACAGUGUCUGGUGGGUAGUUUGACUGGGGCGGUCUCCUCCUAAAGAGUAACGGAGGAGCACGAAGGUUGGCUAAUCCUGGUCGGACAUCAGGAGGUUAGUGCAAUGGCAUAAGCCAGCUUGACUGCGAGCGUGACGGCGCGAGCAGGUGCGAAAGCAGGUCAUAGUGAUCCGGUGGUUCUGAAUGGAAGGGCCAUCGCUCAACGGAUAAAAGGUACUCCGGGGAUAACAGGCUGAUACCGCCCAAGAGUUCAUAUCGACGGCGGUGUUUGGCACCUCGAUGUCGGCUCAUCACAUCCUGGGGCUGAAGUAGGUCCCAAGGGUAUGGCUGUUCGCCAUUUAAAGUGGUACGCGAGCUGGGUUUAGAACGUCGUGAGACAGUUCGGUCCCUAUCUGCCGUGGGCGCUGGAGAACUGAGGGGGGCUGCUCCUAGUACGAGAGGACCGGAGUGGACGCAUCACUGGUGUUCGGGUUGUCAUGCCAAUGGCACUGCCCGGUAGCUAAAUGCGGAAGAGAUAAGUGCUGAAAGCAUCUAAGCACGAAACUUGCCCCGAGAUGAGUUCUCCCUGACUCCUUGAGAGUCCUGAAGGAACGUUGAAGACGACGACGUUGAUAGGCCGGGUGUGUAAGCGCAGCGAUGCGUUGAGCUAACCGGUACUAAUGAACCGUGAGGCUUAACCU